RNAcentral lists this long non-coding RNA (6512 nucleotides) under Lynx pardinus (Iberian lynx). Lineage: Eukaryota; Metazoa; Chordata; Mammalia; Carnivora; Felidae. The record is from RNAcentral.
AAAUAAUCGAUCAGCAGGGAGCUUCGAUCUGCCGGGAAUGCAAACUGCCAGUCCCGAUUCCCGCCCUGAUGGUGGCCAAAAGGCUGACUCCUCCAAAGCCGUCGGCCGCUAGUUCCCAUCGCCCCCACCCCCCAUCCCACUUCGCCAGCUGCGGGCCGAACCCUCAUCCCAAAGGGGGGUGUAGAUAAGAGAAAGAGUUUUGAGAAAGAUUAGGGGGCUCGUAUCUGGAGAGGUUGUUUGGACAAGGCUAGGAGCUCUCAAAUGUAUUGAGGCUAACUCUAAAUGCGCAAACUAAAAGAGAAUUUGCAUCAGUUUGAGAGGUAGGACUCAAGUUUUUGUUAAGUGGGCUUUCAAGAAGCCAGAGACACUGGGCAAGCAUCAGAACAUAUAUCUGGAAUCAGGUUCCCUCCAGCACACGUAGCCUCGCUGAGCGAUGUCUAUUCCUUUAGUACUUAGCAGGAGUCAACGCCCAGUCUCCCCCCCCCCCACCCCCACCGAAUAGUGGAGUUUUCAUAAAGCCGAAGCAGCUGAACCUUCCCAGCCUCCCGCACACCUCCCCAACGCCGACACCGCACUCCCCCCGUGUGCACCUAAAGGGCUGACACAUUCACCCGAAGCCUUCAGAUACACUUUGCCUUGAAAGAGCUCCGACUGUUUAAAAAACAUCCUAGGAUCCGCAUCAUUUGCAUCUCUCUUCUUUCCUCCUUUCUCUCCCUCCCUUUCUACCCUCCCCCCCCCCAACUUUAGGAUCUUUAACUUUUUUCCAUCGCAAACAUGGGUAAAGUUUUUGGGUACCGACGCCCCGGUACAUUACGCAGGAGGUUAAAGCAGGCCGCGUGUCAAAGCCGAGGGGAUCCAGGUGAAUUACCAGCUUCUUUACGCCUUUGCCUGACACUCCCACCCCCACCCCGCUCGCCCCAACAUGAACUUGGAAACCGAACUUCAGGCCAAGAUGGAACCUCCCGGUCUCCGGAAGGCGAUUUCUCUGUUUAAUUCGCAGGAAGCUGCGCAGGCUGGGCCAGGCAACGCAAUCCUUUUCCAAUUACCGGGAGGACCAAACUGGGCCGGCAGCCUGCAAGCCCUCUCCGAACCCCAGGCGGCUUUGGCCCUCACCUGCGCCUUCCGACGGCUGCACGCGGACGUGUGACCACUGCAGUCCAGCAGGCCAGGCUUCGGCGCGGCUGGCUGUAGGGGAGGGACACAAGGAGGGGGGGGGUCAAGCCAAACAUCGAGAUGGGUACAUCUACGUUUAUGAUCCUUAAAUGAACUGCGAGGGAAAUGGUGUAAGUAUAAUUUAACGGAGAGAAAUUUACUGCGAAAUACAUUUCAAUGAUCAUCGUCUUUAAGAGUCCUUAGGGGCUCUCCAGCAAAGGCUUAAGUAACCGGUUUGGAGUUACCUCAACUCCGCGGCCAUGUUUUCAAAUUUGGAAAAGGCCAGUUUUGGUAAAGAUUUCUUUGACAAUGGAGUUUAUUUUGUAUUGUUGCUUUUUGGUAAAUUUGUUUUCUAGCAGAGAUGAAAAAAGAAGGUUCAGGUAAGUCACUCCUUUUCAAACAUAACCAAAAACUUCAAAGCAGUUGGAAAACUAUUGUGAGCUUCAACCAUGAUGUGUCAGGUUACCGUAAAAGUACUUUCAAUUACCUACACACAGGUUUUCCUCAAAGAAAGAGAUAGUUUGUGUUUGUUGUCUUAAAUAAACUCUUUAUAGUUUUAAAAAGUGUCUUCUUUCUUCUCCCCCCACCCCUUUUCCAUUUAUAACUGCUAACCUAAUGCUACUCCUAGGUCUUUAUAAGAUUGAUUCUGGACAAUCAAGGGACUAAAACACUUUUACAAUGUAAUUACAGUAGUACAAACUGUUUGCCCAAACCUCAUUCUGGAUAAGGAUUUUACAAUUAGCAAACAGUUAUUACAGUUGGGGCUUGCUGAGAGAAAUUGCACAGAGGAAGUCUAGAGUUGUAAUAUAGUAGCCAUAAAAAAAACCCCUCCUUUAGCAAGGCAGCAAUUAAUCAUCUAUUAAAAGGAAAAGGCAAAGGGAUAGUUCUAGGUAUCUUAGUAAACUACUACUGAUAUUUACCUGUUCUGUGAUAGCAUCUAUCCCUAACUUAUUUCAGAUACUUCCUUUUUGAAGUAAUAGCACGUUUAUUUUGCAAAAACUUGGUCUGGUGAAGGGUUCUGGCACUUGCCCGUAGCUCUCGAGACAUGUGCCUUCCAUCCUCAGCUUACUCUAAACAUCCCAGAACAUCUUCCCAAAGAUAGAGAGCUAAGACUUUAAAGGGGCAGGCUGGGGCCUAGGUCUCUAUUGUUUAGACCUUCCUAGCAAGGAGGCAUUUAAAGCAAGUGGUGCCCCUUUCCGAUGUUGGUACAGUCCUUUUUGAGCACUCCCCUCUAAUUUUCUGUUCUCCUAUAAGGGAUUGUGUCUCUGAAAAGACAUAUAUCCUGAAUUAGGCUUUUGUCCCCAAAGUUCACACUGAUGAGUCAGCUCCAAAACCCUCAGAAAUUAAAGAGGCAUCUCUUAAGGUAAAAUGUGUGUGUAUUUGCCAGCCCAGAAUAAACAAAAGACUGUUAAUCAAUUGAGUUUGGCAGCUGUGUUCACAGAAUGAUAAGAGUUUAUCAUCUGCCACCUAACUUUAAGAUGCCUGUUAAAAUGUUGUGAUUACUCCUUAGGUUGUCCUGUGGUGCGGAGGCUUGGGGUUUGUCCUUCAAGAACAUUCAUCGUCUGCAUCUCAACCCUCCACAUUAACAUUUGCAUUUCAAAAAACAGAAAUAGGAGGAGGGAAAGACAGUUUGAAGAAAAUGGAUUUAAAAUCUAGUAGAGAUAAUAGAGGAAUGCUUGAGAUAAGAGCCUGGAUGUGAUAUGAGAGAGGUACCAAGAAGUCAAAGCUAAUGAAUAGCUCUGAGAAAAGUGAAAUAAACUAUUUAGAGGUCUAUAAAAGGGGGAACCUGGUCAGGUGAUGUGAAAGGGGGUUAACUGAGUGGAUUAGGGAAGACGUUAAUCAUGUGCCCCAAAGCCAUCUGGGCUAGAAGACCUGGGAGAUUUGUUUACUGCAUUUUGCUUCAGAAAACAAUGUCUGGGUCCAGUUCAGAAGUCAAUGAGAGGUCAGUUCAGGCUCUCCAACCAUUGCGGGGGGGGGGGGGGGGGGGGGGGGGAAAUACCUAAGUCACUAUAUUCUAACUGGAUAAUGCAAAAGUUAAGAAAAAAAUUUUUUUUUAAGUAGGGGGAGAGUUGUUUUCAUUACUACCUUUCUAUUUCAAAUCAUUAAAAUGCUUUGGUCUCCAGAGGGGGAAAAAUUACACUGGUUAACAUAAUUACUAGCUCUGACAUUUUCAGAAGUUAUAGAGGUCUUUUAUUAAUUAAAUGGAGGGCUUAAUAAAAUAUUCCUAAUAAAAUUUAUGGUUGUCUUAAAACUUUCUAAACAGUGCUAUAAAUUCUUAAUAAAAUUAACUGGGAAAUGAGUUAUUAGCCCACACUUUACCCUCCCCCCCCCCCCCCCCCCCCCCCCNCCCCCAACUUCUACAUAAGGAGCGGCUGUAGAAUGAAAAAGGGAAAUAGAAGCCUUUUAGUAAAAUAUAAAUAUUAGCCAAAGACACACAUUGCUUUAGAAGAUGUGAGCUUUCAACUAAGUUAUUUCUAAUGGUUUCAUCCUCCAAUAUUCCCCCAAAGCUACUCACAACAAAACUUAGAAAACUCCUUCCCCUUCUCUACCACAUACUAUAUAUGCGUGUAUACGUAAGCUCAUUUGAAAUACAAUGCUCGAUUUUCUGGUCUGAGUUUUGUGUUAAGUUUAAUAAAAAGCACAGAUGCCUCAUGCAAAAGUCCAAUAUAGGACUUCUGAAGGUUCAGAGAGUAAAUAUUUUAUCAAUUCAAAGAUAAUUAAAAAUGAAAUGUCUUAUAAUUUCUCUCAGUAUAAUUUCUUUAAAGGUAACUUUGAAAUAACAAAUUUCUCAACCUUCAAGCUCCGCAUUUAUAACAGUGGUGCAUUAUCUGAAGCAGCAUUUUGUCGAGCAGAUAUACAAAACUUUUUCAUAUCAUUACGUUUUAAAACCUUGGCGAGUUAUCUUAAGUUUUGAGAUACUUCUCUGCUUCACAGAUACAAUACUGGCUGGUUGGCUGUUUAAAAUGAACAGGACUCUCAAACAUACUUCAACCAAAUAAAACAGCCUUGGUGGAUUUUUCAGCUUCUGAAGGCUUGAUCUUUUGUGCCGUCUACUGGACAAUGGAAAAACUACAGCCUCUAUGACUUAAGAAUCUAGUCCAAUAUUGGGGGAGGGGGAGGAGGUAGUGGCAAGAGAGUAUGAUUUGGUGCUAGUAAGUCGUAGGAGAGGAUAACAGGACCCAACCUAGACUCAUGGGACAGGUUUUGUGGUCUAAUCACAUCUAUGUUUUCAUAUCCAAGUUUAGGACCUUAUAUUAAGCCUAGGCACACCUAAACGACUUGACUAAGGCAAAAGGCUGUAUUUAAUACAACUGUAUAUGUGUCUGAGUACACAAAGUUGGCUUGGGAAUAGAAAGAAAAGAUGAUAGGACAAGUUUAGCAUCUCUGAAAAACAAUACUGGUGGUUUGCUUCGCUCUGAGUGUGCAUUCACUUGAUAGUCAAGGUAAAUAUAUCUACUGCCUAGAUAAUCGAAGAUGUACAAAUUAACUCUUGGAAUUUGAAACAUGAUGUUCAGUAAUCAAGAAUUGCACUUUUAGGAGGAGGGGAAAUGAAACUGGUAAUUAGAAAACUUUUAGUGCCGUUCUUUUUGGCAAUCUUGAAUGAAAAUGUGAAACUUCAGUGUUUUCACUUGGAGACCACAUGUGGGAGAAAGUGGGUGAAAUUCAUAGUCAGAUGCCUUUAUGUAGCAGAGGCUGUUUGAUGAUCUAUUAAACAUUUAAGAAAUAUUGUAUAUAUUUUGGUCAUGAUUUAAAAAAAUAUUUAUGGUGACCUAGCAUUCUGGAAGCUUUGUACAAAAAAAAAAUCGUGAAGCUAACUUCGACCUGUUUGAUAUUGACAUAGUUUCUGAAUAAUAAUUACCUUAGAGAGGUUAUUUUGUGACUUAAGAAACAAAUAAACAAAACCCAACACCAAUAAAAUGCAGAGAACUCAAGACGGUUUUGAUGGAAGAGACAUAAACUUGGGUGCAGGGCUCUUACAACUGUUCAUCUGCUUUUCUGAAGUUAAAAAUUCUUUAAUGCAUUUUAAUAAAAACUACUAGCACAUGACUAGUUAUUAGGGUGCCUUUUAAUAAAAAUUGAAGAGUGAAAAGGAGACAGCUUUUGGACAUUUUAUUGAUGCAUAAAUAUAUUUCAAUGAUCUACUUCAAAUAUACAUUUUGAUGUGGCACUAUGUCAGAAUGACUUUAAAAUAUUGUAUUAAAUAUAGAUAUAUCAGAGAACCUGAACUGACAUUGCCUACUUAAAGCAGUGAGAUUUCUUGCACUGCAGUGUGACAGAACAGGAUGGUUUCAAUUGUGCUACCCAGAUGGAGGGGGUGGUGGUGUGGUGAUGGGUAUCUUUUAAGCUUUAGCAUAAUCAACUGAACUAUGUGACAGAUUAUUACUUUAUGAGAUGCUAUGUGGAGCCAUUGGUCCAGAUUAAAACAACAAGGACAACCACCACCCUACCCACAAUCGCUAGAAAACAUAGAUAAUUCUUACAAGAACCAAUCACAGUUGAUGUAUUUUAAACAGCCGAGUGCUGUGAGAGGUCUGGGGAAAGUGCUCUAGUCAUCAAAGGCAAACAUUUACCUUUCAAAUAACAGGAUGAGCCAGAACGGUCAUGACUAGUAUCCAUGUUCAGCUGGAUAAAGGGACAUAUUUUGCAAAAAACCUUCAGGCAAAAAAAACAAAACAAAAACAAAAAACCAACAACAAAAAAACACAAAAAAACCUGAUUAUUCAUAAAUAAAUAUUUUAACAUUUCACUGACUUAUCUAACGAAUAAGAAAAACAUCGAAGGCUUCCUGCAGUUCAGAAAGAAUUCUAGUAGCCUGGAAAACACAGAAGGAAAGAACGAGAAGCCCAAGGACGCCUGCUGAGUAGUGAUUCACUUGUGAAUAUCUGAAAACGUACUUUUCAUGCCCUUAUUUAAAAAUGAAAAAUAAAUAUCAUCCUUCCUUGUCUUUUUGUUUUGUUUUUAAUUAACAUCAGACUAUGGUUAUGCUUGCUAAAAAGCGUAAUUCUUUCCAGGGGGUUUCUGCAAGAAAGGGCCAGUUUGAAAGCUUAUAACUAAUGGCAGAAGUGGAUGUAUAAGCCGCAAACAAAUCGUUUCGCAGCGGAGCCCACAGCCCUGAGAGACGCCCCUUCUUGCGAGCUCAUCAGGAUAACUUCAUUUACUGGCAGGUCGGCGGCCACUUCCGGGACUCUCUGUCGAGCGGUGUCCUUUCACCGCGGAGUCCUCAGCAGGGCUGCCCUGUCACCUGUGUGUGUUGAGGUGGCAGGUCCCCACGGCGCCCUGCAACGCAGGCUGGUCCCCGCGCCCCCAGCCACCCAGAGCCCCGGGCCUGCCUGCACCCCCGGGCGCACGGACUCCCCGGG